GGGAAAUAAGCUAUGAAAGUAAGCAAGAAAUUAAAGUGCAAGAAAUACAAACUAGGCGGAUCCUAAGAGUGUUUGGAUGAUCUUAUUUAAGGUUCCCAACAAAACACUCACUAUCCUAAGGGAAAAUUGCCUAAAAUUAUUACACACAAAUGGAAGUAGGGUGACCUAUUGGAGGCUCCCAACUUACUUCCAAUGAAAGGCCUUUUUGUUACAAAAUUUGAAAGCAAAGCAAAUUGUCAAUUACAAAAUUACAAAAAAAAAAGUCCUCAAUUGUGGUGGC
This 280-nucleotide long non-coding RNA is filed under the name Glycine max (soybean). RNAcentral's name for it is "long non-coding RNA (GMAX_LNC004745)". The record is from RNAcentral. Lineage: Eukaryota; Viridiplantae; Streptophyta; Magnoliopsida; Fabales; Fabaceae.